This 24-nucleotide non-coding RNA is filed under the name Arabidopsis thaliana (thale cress). The record is from RNAcentral. Lineage: Eukaryota; Viridiplantae; Streptophyta; Magnoliopsida; Brassicales; Brassicaceae.
AUCGGUUUAGGUUCGGAUUACCUG